Molecule: microRNA precursor, 62 nt
Filed under: Caenorhabditis remanei
Lineage: Eukaryota; Metazoa; Nematoda; Chromadorea; Rhabditida; Rhabditidae
Description: microRNA crm-mir-7579 precursor
Source: miRBase by way of RNAcentral
ACGGCACUCGCAGUUUUCUCAACACUCAAGACGUAGCGUUGAGGACCUGUAGAGUUCCGUUC